UUUUCACAGCUCUGACAUUAAGGAGAUCCAGCUUUUAAUAAUGCUGAAAACUCAAAGUAAAUGUUCUCCAAAGGGUCAGGCACACCUUUCCUGCACUUGUGAGCUGAAAGUUGCACAACUCCCUGUCAAACGUGUCACAAAUCAACAAUCUGAAACAGCAAGCAGAAAAUGCUGAAUGCUGAAAGCACUCCGCAACUCAGGUUGCAGUUUUCAACUUCUCGGUUUUCUGGGGAAAGAGGAACAAAAGUCAUGCUUCUGGUCAAUAAUAUUUAAUCAGAAGGAGGAAGAAAUCUGAAAACAAGCACGUCUUAAAUGAGAGAGGUUUGGAGGAACAUGGAGAAGAUGCCCCAAGGUUAUGUGAAGAGCCAUUGAGAUGGCAUAUGCUGUAGACCUGUUGCUUCAGUAGGCAAAGUGAAGCGGAUCCAAGUUGCCACUCAGACAAGAGCUGAUAUGCUCUAUCACCAGCCACUCAAGAUACUUCAGCACUGUGGAUGGAAGCGCCACUGGGCGAUAGUCAUUGAAGCGGUUACCACACUCUUCUUGGGCCCUGGUAUGAUUGAAGCCUGCUUGAAACAGAGUGCUGCCAGAGAAAGCCAUUGCAGCUGGUUUGCUGCUGAACCAAGUGUCUAGAUGGGCACUUACAUCACUUGGGUACAGAGGGCAAUGGACCAAGUACUGAAUAUGUCAGGAUUAACACCAAAAGAUACCCACCGGUCAUCAUGGAUGAGUUGGGCUGAAUGGUCUGUAUCCAUGCUGCAUUUUAUGCUAUCUAAUCUGCAGUGUGUUUCCAGUAUUGUCUGUUUUUAUUUAAGAUUUCCACCAUUUACAUUUCUUUUGAUUUUAAUUUGUAGUUGUGGAGGCUGGGGCAUUUAAGAAGGAGACAGAUACAUACUGAGAGAAACAAGAGCUAUGUGGGACUAACAGAGAAUAACUAAUAAAGCUGCAGCCUUGCAGGUUCUGCUUCCAUGAUACUUGAUAUUUCAACUAAUUCUCUCAGGAGGCUAUAGAUCGGCAAAUCCAGCAGCUCUGGAACGCUCAUUGCUAAACAUGUCUCUAACAUGAUCCAACUUCAACCAAGAAUAUUCUCAAACAAAAGAGAAUGGAAAUCAAUAAGGCACUAACUUUCCUUCUGCCUGGCAUCACAGUGCAAUCAUGGAACUUCAUCACCGAACCACCUCCAUAAAUCUUCCUCAAAAUCAGCAUCGUUUAAUAUCCCUGAAAUAUGUUCUGAAAUUCGUUGUUUUGCAGCAGCUGUGUAGUUAAUGCAGAGAAAUACAGUUCUGUUACAGGCCCUUGGGGCCCAUCAAGCCUGUGCCGGCAAAUUAUACCCAUGAGGCUAAUUAACCUACUAACCCGUAAGCCUUUGGAAUAGAGGGGGAAACCGGAGCAUCUGGAGGAAAACCGGAGUACAUGGUCUUAAGGAGAACGUACAAACUCCUUUCAGACAGUGGUGGAAUUGAACCUGGGUUGCUGGCACUGUAAUAGUGUUGCACUGACUGCUAUGCUACCAUGCCACUCAAAUAAGUAACAAAAAUAAAUGUGCAUGCAAAAAGAGAGCUUAAUAGUGAGGUAUUUAAUGGACUGCACAGCAAUCUGAUGGUGGAGGGGAAGACACUGUUCCUAAAACGUUUAUCAUUCACUAAUUAUACACUAAUCAGGAUGUGUACUCACUGAGCCACCUAGUACUUCUUCAUUUACAAUUUGACAAGUAUGGGUUUAUUUUUAACAAUGAACUUUGCUACUGUCACUGGGAAAUCCAAUAAGUUACAGGUCCUUGGCAGUGUGGCGGCAACACUGCCACAACAAGUUAAAUUGCUGUCUCACAGCUCUGCAACUAGGGUUUAUCCCUGUCCUCAGGUGCUAUGUGUGGAGUUUGAAUGUUCUCUUUGUAAUCAGGUGAGAUUCCUCCAGUUCUGCCAAGGACAGUGAGGUUAGUAGGUUUAUUGGCUUCUGCAAAUUGCUCUUGGUAUACUAGUGAAUAGAAGAAUACAAUAAUAGAUGCUGAGACUGAGAAUAAAAUGCAAUUCAGGUUAAUGGGCUGGCACAGCCUUGGUGAGCCUGAAGGCUUGUUUCAAUGCUGAGGACUCUCGUGAUGUUAUCAUUAACAGCAACAAGCUCAAAAUCGCUGAACUAUUUGCACCAAUUACUUUUUCUUGUGAUACCCAAGCUUAACAGCUACCCAUCUAAUGCCAGGUUUUUUUACGAUGUUACAAAUAUAGUCAGUGGCCACUUUAUUAGGAACACCUAGACACCUGCUCCUGAAUGCAAAUAUCUAAUCAGCCAAUCAUGUGGUAGCAACUCAGUGCAUAAUAGCAUUCAAGCAUUGUCAAGUGGUUCAGUUGUUGUUCAGACCAUACUUCAGAAUGGAGAAGAAAUAUGAUCUAUGUGACUUUGACAGUGGAAUGAUUGUUGGUGCCAGAUGUGGUGGUUUGCAUAUCUCAGAAACCACUGAUCUCCUGGAAUCUUCAUGCACAACAUUCUCUAGAAUUUACAGAGCACUGCGCGAAACAAAAAAAAACCCAACUAGUGAGCGGCAGUUCAAUGGACGUAAACGCCUUAUUGAUCAGAGAGGUCAGAGGAGAAUGGCCAGAUCGUUUCAAGCUGACAAGAAGACACCUGUAACUCUUAUAACCAUGCGUUACAACAGUGGUGUGAAUGCCCAGCACAUGGGACUGCAAAGUGGAUGGCCAUUUCUGAUUCCGCUGCUGUACAAUCCUAUAGCUAAUGAAGUGGUCACUGAAUGUAUAUAGGAAGUCAAGCUAGGGUGCCUCAGAAGUUUGUACAGUACUGUAGUAAUUUUUUCUAUUGCAUUGUGCUGCUGCUGCAGCAAAAUAUGUAAAUUUCAUGAUAUAUGUGAGUGAUGAUAAACCUGACUCUGAUAUGGGUCUCUUUAGUGGACUGAGAGUGGGAAGAGAGAAGGGAGAAGGUAAUCAUAUUUGGGUCAAGGAGAAGGAUGAGGGAAGGGAGCAGGAAGCACCAGAGAGACAUUUUGUAAUAAUCA
Molecule: long non-coding RNA, 3001 nt
Organism: Hypanus sabinus (Atlantic stingray)
Lineage: Eukaryota; Metazoa; Chordata; Chondrichthyes; Myliobatiformes; Dasyatidae
Exons: 3
Source: RefSeq, a predicted model, not a curated record